AUUUUCCCCAGCAUGGCUUUCUGAACCUCGCCACUGAAAUGCAGCAGAGCAAGACAGCUGCAAUUUUAAAGCAGCCAUUUUGGAAGUAGUUACUACUUGCGCUUUGUUCUCCUAUCUGGUUUUUUUCACCCUGGAUUUACACUGAGGCAAAUAACAGAGCAGCC
RNAcentral lists this long non-coding RNA (164 nucleotides) under Apteryx owenii (little spotted kiwi). Its description in RNAcentral is "lncRNA (ENSAOWG00000001636.1)". The record is from RNAcentral. Lineage: Eukaryota; Metazoa; Chordata; Aves; Apterygiformes; Apterygidae.